This 775-nucleotide long non-coding RNA is filed under the name Mytilus galloprovincialis (Mediterranean mussel). The record is from RNAcentral. Lineage: Eukaryota; Metazoa; Mollusca; Bivalvia; Mytilida; Mytilidae.
CCUUGGUCCAAAAAAAUUAAAAUAAGGUCAAGGUCAAAGGUCAAGGUCAUAUUCUAAAUUUUGAUUUUGGCUUAUUUUCUCUUAUUUUCAACAACCGUGAAAGAUAUUGACAAAUUAUUUUUACUAAAUUGUGAGUUGCGACAUGUUGUAACUUAUAAAUUUUGGUUGGAAGGGUGCGUAAACAAUAAAUGAGAGUUUUCGCCCAUCUUAUAUUUAAAAUCAUGCCUAAAGUGAUAUAACUCAUUAACCAUACAUAUUACAGACCUAGGGUCUUUUUAUUUGAGGUCCUUGGUUGGUGACCUUGAAAUUGAGGUCAAGGUCAAAGGUUAAUAGGACGUUCUACAUUUUGACCUUUGCUUUAAAUUCAUAUUUAUACAUUAUAAAGUCCAUAGGAACUGACAUUUUAGAUUGAUUUUUAAUAUUUUGAUAAUAAAAUAGAUCUUUACUUGUGGAAAGACCUUCAAUUGUUCUUUGAACUAUUGGUUUUUAAUUUUUUUUUUUUUUUUUUUUUUUUUUCUUCCGCCUAAUUUUUUUCUUGCGUAGUAUUGAUGUUUCAAAAGAUGUCGCUUAGAUGUUUGGAAUAUGGUAUCGUAUAGUUUAUACGCUUUAAAAAUUUACAACUGCAUAACAAAAUACUUUACAUUGUAAGAGUUAUCUCCUCAAACACUGUUUUUCUUGUGGCCACUACUCCUUCGCAACCGUAAAAGAUUACGACAAAUUUAUUUUACCAAAUUGCUCGUUACUCCUUCCGGAUUAGGAUAUUUAUUUGGACCGA